Non-coding RNA from Corylus avellana, 1368 nucleotides. Lineage: Eukaryota; Viridiplantae; Streptophyta; Magnoliopsida; Fagales; Betulaceae. The record is from RefSeq and is a predicted model, not a curated record.
CACUCCUGAGACUUUCUAUAGUAAAAUGCCCUCUGCUGAAAGAACACUGCAAGAAAGAUCAAGGACGAGAGUGGUCCAAGAUAGCCCACAUCCCUCGCGUUGAGAUUGACUCGAGAUUCAUCUACGACCCAGAAGACGAGAAUCAGUGAAAGGCUCCCCUUCUCCCAUUUGAUCCCACUUUUAUUUAGUGCGACAAAAGUUUCAAGAGAUAUAUCCAAAGCUCAAUUUAUUGACCCGCCAGUUCUUUUGCUUCUGCCUCUUCUUCAAUAUCCAUCGUGGGAGACUCGGGGCGAAACUGCUUCCCAAGAAGCGGCUCCUCUCUGAUGAGGCCUCUGAACUAUCAGCAGCAGCAGGAUAACCAGGCCCAGCUGAAGUUAAAUGAAUGAUUAAAUAUAGUUUAUGUUUGCCUGAGAAACAAUUUGGGUGGUUUGGAACUUGGGUUUGCAUCGGUUGUAUUGUUAAUUCUCAUUUUUGGGAAUUUUAUACUUGUCAUCAAUGCUGCGUAGAUAUGGGAGGUUUUGUUGGUUGUCAUCUGAAUGUUGGCAUUGGAGAGAUCCUGUUGCUCCUAUUUCUUGCUGCCAUUCUUGUUGGUUUGCUCUUCUUGUUCGGCUUUCAUGAUGGCAUCAUGAGUGUUUGUUCUAAUGCCCUAGUCACCAAGCAGGGAGAGAAUGCCUUCGAACAUUUGAGUUUAUCAUUACCAAUUGGCCUAUUGCUAGCCAUUACCGAUUCUACAAAUCAUUGGUAUCCCCUAAAAGAGUUUACAAUGGUUAUCCUCAAACAAUUUUGCAGUAUCUAAUUGUGAAGACAGUGCCUUUGGGGGCUUCACAAAGAAGGAAGAAGAAGAAACCUGAAACCUCCGAGUUCAACAUUCCUGGCCUAGACACCAAACCAGAUACAUUUUGUCCAUUGAUUUGUCAUCACACCCUUGUAGGUGGAAACCGAAGUUUUCAAUGAUGAAAAUGUUGAUCCUGAAGAGGAUAUUGAUGUCUAUUUGAUUGGAAAUUAGGGUACAGAGGGUAAAGAGAUGACAAGAUGCUGACGUUGGAAACUAUUAAACCGGUUUACUGGAUUAUGUUGAAGUAGAAGAUCAUCCUUAUUUUGUGGCAAGCAUGACGUACUGGAGGUUACAACAGGGAGUAAUUCUAGAAGGCCUAUUUGUAUCUUACUUGUAUCUUACUAAAAAUGAUGUGGCUAUUAAAAUCAUCAUUGAGUUUGUGAUUGAUCAUUAUUGAAUUUUGAUCAAAGGAUGAUUUUAAUAUCACAUCAUUCUUAGUAGGACACAUAUAUGACACAAAUAAACCUUUUAGAAUUACCUUACAGCAAGAGGCAGAGGAGUUAGCAAAUGCUCUGUUGUUUUUCAUGUAAGAU